AGGGAAGCAAAUUGUCUAAUAUGAAUGAGAGGAGGGUUUAAAUGCAUCAUUUCAAGGUGGUUAUCACUCAAGAACAAGGAGCUUGAUCAUUAUGCAAAAUUUAUCUAAGACUAGAAGCAAUUCAUGCAUACAUAGAUCCAUUCUCAUUAUUCUGCCCUUUUCUCAAGUGAUCCCAAGUUCUAUCCUCAUAUUACAUCACCCAACACCAAAAUUAACAAUAACACCCACUUACAUCACUCACCCAAUGAACAACUCUAUUUUUAUUUUGACUCAACCAACUAGGGACCUUCUUUUCACUUCUUAGCUCUAACUCUUUUUUCUUUU
RNAcentral lists this long non-coding RNA (324 nucleotides) under Brassica napus (rape). RNAcentral describes it as "long non-coding RNA (BNAP_LNC024277)". The record is from RNAcentral. Lineage: Eukaryota; Viridiplantae; Streptophyta; Magnoliopsida; Brassicales; Brassicaceae.